ACAGGUAUAGCGCAGUGGCAGAGCACGUGCUUUGUGUGCACGAGGUCCCGGGUUCAAUUCCCAGUGCCUCUG
Molecule: transfer RNA, 72 nt
Filed under: Camelus bactrianus (Bactrian camel)
Lineage: Eukaryota; Metazoa; Chordata; Mammalia; Artiodactyla; Camelidae
Also listed under: 2 other names
Rfam family: tRNA
About the family: Transfer RNA (tRNA) molecules are approximately 80 nucleotides in length.
Source: Rfam by way of RNAcentral